UGAGCCAUGGUGUAAUGGUAACACUGCAGAUUUUGGUUCUGUCAUUCUGAGUUCGAGUCUCGGUGGCUCAA
This 71-nucleotide transfer RNA is filed under the name Tidjanibacter sp. RNAcentral describes it as "tRNA-Gln". It matches the Rfam family "tRNA". From Rfam's summary of the family: Transfer RNA (tRNA) molecules are approximately 80 nucleotides in length. Their secondary structure includes four short double-helical elements and three loops (D, anti-codon, and T loops). Further hydrogen bonds mediate the characteristic L-shaped molecular structure. tRNAs have two regions of fundamental functional importance: the anti-codon, which is responsible for specific mRNA codon recognition, and the 3' end, to which the tRNAs corresponding amino acid is attached (by aminoacyl-tRNA synthetases). tRNAs cope with the degeneracy of the genetic code in two manners: having more than one tRNA (with a specific anti-codon) for a particular amino acid; and 'wobble' base-pairing, i.e. permitting non-standard base-pairing at the 3rd anti-codon position. Lineage: Bacteria; Pseudomonadati; Bacteroidota; Bacteroidia; Bacteroidales; Rikenellaceae. The record is from RNAcentral. RNAcentral also lists the same sequence under 1 other name.